AUGUGCAAUUACUAACUCCGCCUCGUUCGUGAUAGUGAACUGCUCUGCACAUUAUUAUUACAACAUUCUUUCUGCAGCCUGCCAUAUCGUAGAAGGAAGAGGAGGGUAACCUUCCUCCCUGGUUGACUUUGCAUAAAUGUUCUAUUGCAGCUUGAAAGAAUCUCAGGGAAGUUAUUAUAUUCUAAUCUAUGAUAGUUAUUCUACUCACGUUAAAGCAUAUAGUUUACACUUUAUAGUGUAAAUGGCAAGGUUUAUUGAUAAGGGACUUUUUCCAUGGCUACCCAUGAUAUAUUCACAUGUGUUAGUUAGACUUACAGGUUAUGUCGUUGUUUUUUGUUUGAAUUGUUUACGUGUUCGCUGUGCGGGGGAAAUGAUAAGACAAGCGGAACUACGUAGCUAAUAACUGUUGUACCGGGGAUCCUUAUUGUAGCAACACACUUUUGGAGGGAAGGCAAUCCCAUUAGCUAAGUUUUCAUGUCAUCGGGUGUAUUGCGUAAAGGUUGAAGCAUGUAUGUUAGGAUGGUAAAGUUAGAAUAAUUAAGAAUGAAGUGUGAAUUCAUGCCAGGAAUAAUAAGUGUGAAGUUUGAUUUCCUCCCUUCUGUAAUAAGCAGCCAAUGACGUAUUUUUUCUUUAUUCAUGUGUUUAAUCUGAUACUGUUAUAGCGCCGGCUAAACUGUUUAUGUAUGUAAGCACUUCAGAGUUAUACCAAGCUAAUAAGUCACUCGUAAAAUAAGGAGGUUGUAAGAGUGUACUUAACUGUAUUUUCAUUUGCUUUAUAGUUCUCAAGGAAGGUGAUAAUUCUGACUAAAUCUACAGAAUAAAGCCGCCAGUUAAAAUCAAGGAACGCUUGUUCUUGUGGUUACUGGAGGGAACUACAACAUGAUCGUUUUAUAUUUGUUUGUUCAAAUGUCAUCUGUGUACUGUUCGUUCAAUCAAUUUCCGAAUAUAUACAACCAAGACGGAUAAUCAUUUCGACUGCAUUAAUUCAUUUUUUUUUAUGUUGUCCACAAGACUGAACAGAGAUGGUGUGGGCAUAGAGAGGAGGGGCUGCAACAUGAUUACGUCGCUAGCUGUUUUCAAAGUAAAAGCUGUGUUACUGAUAUUACCUGAACAUAUCCAGCUAGUUAGCUUUCGCAGGUUAGUUAUAAAUUAAAGUCACCAAUAAGUAACGUUAGUUAGUUAGCUGCCUUCAAUUAUUGGUGGCUUUACAGACAAGACAGGGAGAUUAUAUUAUAAGCCACCAAGCAUUGAGCUAAAACUAGCUAGCUAUCAUACCAAACAGGUGAGUGUGCGUGCGUAUGUAUGCAUGUAUGUAUGUCUGUCUAUGGUAGGUUACAAGGAUCGUUCAAGACUAUCCAGCCCCAGCUAACACGGCUUGACAUACCGAGUUUUGACCAUGACCCUUUCUCUGCCAUCAGGUGAGUAUUAGUUAAUGAUCAACAAUUUUCUACUCUGUAUGGUGUAUGUAGGUGGUAAUUCCCUCCACCUAAUAAUGGCAGAGAUUUAAGGAAGUAAAAUGGAUCGUUCAAUCAUUCUCAAUGGUAGUUCGUGAGUAUAUCUGUAGAGAAAUAGGUGGGCAUACUGCAUAUGGCCACUACUACACCACUGCAUGAGAUUGAAGCUGGUUUGGUUGAAGGUGACACUACACAUGUACAGGCAGGCACUGCCAUUCCUUGCCUUGCAUGGUAUGGCUUCGUAUAUACUAGAGUAGGUAUUCCCAAACAGGGGUGCCCAAAUAAAAAAUAUACUUUUUUUGUGUGACUUUUUUGCUUCACGUUUUCAAACAGUCCCUUUAUAUUUUCUAACAGGGUUAUACAUUUGGGUGAUGUUUUUUUCUCGCCUGAGUAGCCUCGUUUCACUGCCCAUAAUAAAAGUAAACCAUCUUUUUAUUUUUUUUAUUUUUAUUUCACCUUUAUUUAACCAGGUAGGCUAGUUGAGAACAAGUUCUCAUUUACAACUGCAACCUGGCCAAGAUAAAGAAAGCAAAGCAGUGCGACACAAACAACAACACAGAGUUACACAUGGAAUAAACAAGCAUACAGUCAACAACACAAUAUAAAAAAAUAGUCUAUAUACGGUGUGUGCAAAUGGCGUGAGGAGGUAAGGCAAUAGUAGGCCAUAGUAGUUGUGUAAUUACAAUUUAGCAAAUUAACACUGGAGUGAUAGAUGUGCAGAUGAUGAUGUGAAAGUAGAAAUACUGGUGGGCAAAGAGCAGAAAAGUAAAUAAAAACAAUAUGGUGGUGAGGUAGGUAGAUUGGAUGGGCUAUUUACAGAUGGCCUAUGUACAGCUGCAGCGAUGGGUUAGUUGCUCAGAUAGCUGAUGUUUAAAGUUAGUGAGGGAAAUAUAAGUCUCCAGCUUCAGCUAUUUUUGCAAUUCGUUCCAGUCAUUGGCAGCAGAGAACUGGAAGGAAAGGCAGCCAAAGGAGGUGUUGGCUUUGGGGAUGACCAGUGAGAAAUACCUGCUGGUGUUCAGUGAAAUAACACAAUGUCAAAUACAGGUAGCCUAGUCAAAUAAUUAACAUCCAAUCACAUUAACCAUUACUCUCGCAGGAAUUCCACUAACGGUCCAAAUGUAGCCAACAUAGCUGCUGCUCAUGUUGGUAUUUGAACUAAUGGCGCAAAAGCUUUUACAUGGAGACAUAGUGGAGUGGUAACGCAUGUGCAAGCAGGUGCUCCCGAUGCCACUUGGGUACAUUGCUUCAUCCACCGAGAGGCUCUUGCUGCCAAGGGAAUGUCUGCUAGCUUGAAAGACGUUUUGGACACUACAGUGAAAAUAGUUCACUUUGUUAAAGCAAGGCCCCUGAACUCUUGUGUAUUUUCUGCACUAUGCAAUGAUAUGGGCAGCGACCGAGUAAUGCUUUUACAAUGUACAGAAAGGAGUGUGCUGGUUAUCAAGGGACAAAUUAUUGAUGGUUUUUUUGAGAGAUGAGCUGAAAGUUUUCUGUACUGACCAUAAUUUUCACUUGUCUGACUGCUUGUGAGAAACUCGUCAUCACGCACGACUGGCCUAUCUGGGUGAUUUAUUUUUUCUCGCCUGAAUGAUCUGAAUCUAGGAUUACAGGGACUCUCCGCAACUAUAUUCAAUGUAGGGACAAAAUUGAGGCUAUGAUUAAGAAGUUGGUGCUCUUCUCUGUCUGCAUUAAUAAGAACACACAGGUCUUUCCAUCAUUGUAUGAUUUUUUUGUGUGCAAAUGAACUCAAGCUUACGGACAAUGUCAAAUGUGAUAUAGCGAAGCAUCUGAGGUGGAUGCGCAGUUAUGCAGGAACUUUCCCAAAACGGAUGACACAAACAACUGGAUUCGUUAUCCCUUUCAUGCUCUGCCUCCAGUCCACUUAAUGAUAUCUGAACAAGAGAGCCCCAUCGAAAUUGCAACAAGCUGUUCAGUGAAAAUUUAAUUCAAUCAGGAGCAACUGACAGAUUUCUGGAUUGGGCUGCGCUCAGAGUAUCCUGCCUUGGCAAAUCGUGCUGUGAAGACACUGAUGCCCUUUGCAACCACGUACCUAUGUAAGAGGGGAUUUUCGGCCCUCACUAGCAUGAAAACUAAAUACAGGCACAGACUGUGGGAAAUUAUUUAAGACUGAGACUCUCUCCAAUACAACACAACAUUGCAAAGUUAUCUGCAUCCUUUCAAGCACACCCUUCUCAUUAAUCUGUAGGUAGUUAUUCACAAUUUUUGAUGAACAAAUAAGGUUUUAUAUGUAAGAUGGCUAAAUAAAGAGCAAAAUUAUUGAUUAUUAUUUGUGCCCUGGUCCUAUAAGAGCUCUUUGUCACUUCCCACGAGCUGGGUUGUGACACAAACUCACACUCAUUCUUAUGUUUAAUACAUGUAUUGUAUAGUGUGUGUGGCAGGCUUACAAUGAUGGCAAAAAACAUAAUUUGAGAGUGUGCUGACCCUGGUGCUAGAGGGGGUAUGCAGCUGGAGGUUGAAUGUUUGAAGGGGUAUGGGACUAUAAAAAGUUUGGGAACCACUGUACUAGAGCACUCAAACUCAACUCUGAACCUCAAAGCCAGUUCCACUACCCUUUUUCUUUCUUCCCCUCUAAUCAGGGACUGAUUUAGAGCUGGGACACCAGGUGGGUGCAAUUCAUUCUGGUAGAACAGAAAUCCAAUAGGCUCUGGACCUCAUAGGGCAGAGUUACCCAAACUCAGUGCACAUUUUGUUUUUGCCCUAACACUACAAAGCUGAUAAACAACUAAUCAUCAAGCUUUGAUAAUUUGAAUCGGCUGUGUGCUGUUGGCAUGGUGCAGGAGCAGGGUCAAUAGGGUCAAAGUAGUGGACUGGGGUAGUGGGUUUUUAGAGUGUAGGUGGCAGCUGCAGAGAAGUACCUGGGUGUAAAAUAUUUUACUGCAGAAGACUUAUAAGAUGUUUUAGAGAUUUUGGAUGAAGUAGUGGUAUAUAGGUGUAGGGUAGGCUGGUGGUGCAAUAAAAUAAAAAAAUCCCACCCCCCCUUUUUAUUUUUGUAUCUCAAAUGUACUGCAAUUGAACAAACACUACCGCACUGUAGGUGGUGGCAUGCACAGACAAAAUGUGUGAACGCCAUGAUACCGAAGAAGAAUUCUCAGCUGUGUAGUGUUAGGGAACAAAACAAAACGUCCAUCCCUUGGUGUCCCAAGUACUGAGUUUGGAAAACGCUGCUGGAGAGUAAGAGUUGAUUACCCCUAUACUAGAGUAUAAUGACAUAUUUUUAGACGGGGACUGUGUGUAAUGUGCGAUUUAACUAAAUUCACUCUGUAUUUAACUGUGUAGAAUCUUCGUUCUCCAUAGAGAUGUUGGAUGCAGAAUUAUACUCCUAUCCUGCACAUGUUCAGGAGAGAAGAACAUCCAUAGACAAGGAGCUGCUGCAGCAGAUAGACAACUUCCUACAGGUAACGAGCACACACAUGGUAAUCAUUUCUGCAUAGAAAGGUUUAAAGUCUGCACUGAGAAUCUUAGGGGGUUUCUUUGUGUGUGCAUGUGUCUGUGUGGUGAGUUAAGGUGGAAGUGUUUCCUGAUGUGCUCUGUUAGAGGGUAUGUAUCUGAAGGCUCUAACCUGUAUGUGUGUGUAGGAACUGAGGAGGCAGACUGUUGUACCCUCUGUCCUCUCUGAAGGGGUUAGUGUGUGAAGGCUCUAGCCUGCUGCUUCUGUUGCUGCUCCCUCUGAGGAAGAACGUCUCGAAGAACAUGACCUUCCUCUCACCAGGACACACACAUCUCAAGUCAGUUGUUUUAGUCACUGCCCUACUCAUAUUUUUUGUGCAAGGUAAGUGUUUUACACUGUUCUAUGUGUUCUCAGUUUUGAUUUAAUUCCUAGACACUUCCACCCAACUGUGUGAUGAGUCUGGUGGGCCAAUGCGUCAAACUGUGGUCAUGGGGAGCUGGGUGUAGAUGGUGGAGGUGUUUGGGGUAGCCAGGUCAGUGGAGGACAUCCCAGCCACUUGGCAGUGUCGGCACUGCUACUUCCCACAUGACAGGUAAGUGGACAUCUACUUAUACAAUCAGUCAAUCAAAAGUCUAUAUUUGACCUUUUUUUUUUUUACUUCAGCAGUUGUCACAAAGUGUUUUUACAGUAACCUGGCCUGCACAAGGGGAACCUGGGACACACUGCUCCUGCCAUUUUUCUCCCCGUGUGAUGACAUAUCCUGUUUAGGCACCUGGCCAAGUCCAGGAGGAGUUGAAGGCGGAGCAUGCCUCAAACCUGCGACGCACCCGGUGAUCUACGGUAUGAUGGCUGACUUACUUACUUCAAAAACCGAGCGACGCCUUCAUGUUCACCCACGAAGACGUAUCUCCCUUCGCCUCCCGCCAACCCCCAAGGGGCACCUUCAACAGCUCCUCACCUUGACGACACACACUGGCUGAAUCUCAAUAGUCGAGUUAGUAGCUUCCUCUGUCACUUUAGUGAGGACAAUACUGUUCUGGUUUCACUAGUAUGUACAGAGGCCCUCGAUCAUCAAAUAUGAACGCUUUUAUGGAGGUUUUGUCUUAUUUUGUGACACUGUUUUUACUGUCUUGUUUGUAUUGGCUGCAUUAAAACUAAUUUCUAUCAACUGUGUUGAUAUGGCGAUUGCAACAAUUGUCAGUUGGUGUGACUAAAAUACAAUUUCAUGUCUUGUAUAUUUUCCAUGCUUUUCUUUUAUUCAUUAUUUCAUUAACAGCUACUUUGCUUUGGCUCUUAUCACUCUACAAAUUUGUAUGAAUAAAAUUAUAAAUGAAAGUAA
Salvelinus fontinalis (brook trout) is the source of this 6199-nucleotide long non-coding RNA. RefSeq lists it as uncharacterized. The transcript is spliced from 2 exons. The record is from RefSeq and is a predicted model, not a curated record. NCBI's taxonomy places the organism in Eukaryota, Metazoa, Chordata, Actinopteri, Salmoniformes, Salmonidae.